This 491-nucleotide ribosomal RNA is filed under the name uncultured bacterium. Its description in RNAcentral is "partial 16S ribosomal RNA". It matches the Rfam family "Bacterial small subunit ribosomal RNA", at positions 29 to 507 of the family's 1533-position model. The record is from RNAcentral.
AGUGAACGCUGGCGGUAGGCCUAACACAUGCAAGUCGAACGGCAGCACAGUAAGAGCUUGCUCUUACGGGUGGCGAGUGGCGGACGGGUGAGGAAUACAUCGGAAUCUACUUUUUCGUGGGGGAUAACGUAGGGAAACUUACGCUAAUACCGCAUACGACCUACGGGUGAAAGCAGGGGAUCUUCGGACCUUGCGCGAUUGAAUGAGCCGAUGUCGGAUUAGCUAGUUGGCGGGGUAAAGGCCCACCAAGGCGACGAUCCGUAGCUGGUCUGAGAGGAUGAUCAGCCACACUGGAACUGAGACACGGUCCAGACUCCUACGGGAGGCAGCAGUGGGGAAUAUUGGACAAUGGGCGCAACCUGAUCCAGCCAUACCGCGUGGGUGAAGAAGGCCUUCGGGUUGUAAAGCCCUUUUGUUGGGAAAGAAAAGCAGCAGGUUAAUACCCCGCUGUUCUGACGGUACCCAAAGAAUAAGCACCGGCUAACUUCGUG